GUGAGUAAUGUCUGGGAAACUGCCCGAUGGAGGGGGAUAACCACUGGAAACGGUGGCUAAUACCGCAUAAUCUCGCGAGAGCAAAGUGGGGGACCUUCUGGCCUCACGCCAUCGGAUGUGCCCAGAUGGGAUUAGCUUGUUGGUGGGGUAAAGGCUCACCAAGGCGACGAUCCCUAGCUGGUCUGAGAGGAUGACCAGCCACACUGGAACUGAGACACGGUCCAGACUCCUACGGGAGGCAGCAGUGGGGAAUAUUGCACAAUGGGCGCAAGCCUGAUGCAGCCAUGCCGCGUGUAUGAAGAAGGCCUUCGGGUUGUAAAGUACUUUCAGCGGGGAGGAAGGUGAUGUGGUUAAUAACCGUAUCAAUUGACGUUACCCGCAGAAGAAGCACCGGCUAACUCCGUGCCAGCAGCCGCGGUAAUACGGAGGGUGCAAGCGUUAAUCGGAAUUACUGGGCGUA
RNAcentral lists this ribosomal RNA (460 nucleotides) under Citrobacter sp. Z4NS-124. RNAcentral's name for it is "bacterial SSU rRNA". It matches the Rfam family "Bacterial small subunit ribosomal RNA", at positions 106 to 562 of the family's 1533-position model. Lineage: Bacteria; Pseudomonadati; Pseudomonadota; Gammaproteobacteria; Enterobacterales; Enterobacteriaceae. The record is from RNAcentral.